RNAcentral lists this unclassified non-coding RNA (761 nucleotides) under Hevea brasiliensis (rubber tree). The record is from RNAcentral. Lineage: Eukaryota; Viridiplantae; Streptophyta; Magnoliopsida; Malpighiales; Euphorbiaceae.
GUAGCAACUAGGCGGCUGUAUAGCUGCAGUUACAACACAAAAAGCUUCUAAAGGUUUAAUAUUGAUUCAUGACAAAGUUGAGGUUCUAAAUACAAAAAGCAACUCCAUGGAUGGCAUUGGACAAAUUAUACUUCAAGGUUAGUCCUAUUUUCAUUUGUGGGGUUUUGCCUAGUGACACGUUGUCCCAAUACUUUGCAAGGAAUAUAUGAUUAUAUACAAGUGACUAAAUCUUAAGCUACAAGAAAACCAGUAAAAAUUAUCAGCUAAAUUCCAGGAGGAAUGUAUCAUCAAUAGAAUAAGUGCCACACUGUACAAUCACAUGGAUUUUUCCAUAAGAUUUCCAUUGCUGUUUCUGUCACAUAAAGCAAGAUGUAACAAUAACAAGAACAGCAAUAAGCUAAAUGAUAAAUGCCAUUACAUUAACAAGCAUUGACCAACUGUAGAUUGAGAAUCUGUAAUGGCUAAGCUGAGGAAAUGUCAGAUGAACAAAGACAAGACCAUAACCUCUAUCAAUAUUCCUCGUUACCACUAAUUUGAGUUUCGCUUUUAAGUGAUCAUGCCAAAAAUGAAAUUGCUCCAAAAGAAAUUGAAGUGCACUACAUGGGUAAUGACUAAUAAUGCCAACUGCUCCCCCAAAAGGAAAAAGAAUUUAUGCAGCACUGACUCUCAACAUUAAACCAGAACCAGAUACUAUAGGAAACAAAAACAAGAAUUAUAUCUAGAAGAGACGAAAAAUCAAGCAAUCAGAGGUGCGUGCACAU